This 68-nucleotide ribosomal RNA is filed under the name Kosakonia radicincitans. RNAcentral describes it as "23S rRNA. Bacterial LSU". Lineage: Bacteria; Pseudomonadati; Pseudomonadota; Gammaproteobacteria; Enterobacterales; Enterobacteriaceae. The record is from RNAcentral.
GGCCGGGUGUGUAAGCGCAGCGAUGCGUUGAGCUAACCGGUACUAAUGAACCGUGAGGCUUAACCUUA